UAUACUACCAUUAGACGCAUAUAGCAAUACAAAUAAGAUAUGUAAGGAAAUCUUAAAAUAUGCAAUUUCUAAUCACGAUUUAGUGCUAACAUUAAAAACAAUGGAUACUUUUUUAGAAUUAGUACUAUAUAAAAAUUCGCUUAAAGAUAUAGUUUAUUUUUUAAAUACGAUUGGGGAAUACAUAAUUAUACCAUACUUGACAUAUGAAUUGAAUGUAUCUGGUAAAAAUAGGAGUUAUAACAAUAGGGAAAGUAGUAUGAACCAAAUGGAUGAAAUAAACCAAAUAAAUGGAACGAGUCAAAUGAAUGGCGCGAAUGGUGAAUAUUUUAGGCCAAACAUUGAAACAUGGCAAAACAGGUAUAUUCCUCAUAGUAAUAAUCAACAUAUCUAUGAAAAUGGUAAUGAAAAUGGUAAUGAAAAUGAUAAUAAAAAUGGUAAUGAAAAUGGUAAUGAAUCACGCUCAUUCAAUUACACAAACUUUCAUAAAGUGCUAUGUAGAAUACCUUUACAUGAAUACCAAUCCUUACAACUGUUACAAUUAUAUUCAUUACAUUACCCUAUGUUUUUUAAAAUUAAUGAUAAACCACAAAGGUGUUUAAAAAAUUGUUUAAGACCUUGUGAAUACUAUAGUAAUACACUACCAACCUAUGGAUCGUAUAUAUUUCAAUUUUCCGUUGUUUUUGAAAUUGAUAAUUCUAUAAAAGUAUUAGACGAACAUGGGUCGAAGUGCAAAAUAUUAUUUCAAUUAAGUGAAGAUGACAAUGAUAAAAAUAACCAAUUGGAUAUUGAUGUUACUUCAAGUGAAGAUAAUAAAGUAAACAAUUUUCUGGAAAUAAAUUUUAUACAAAAUCAUAUGUAUACGAAAAUUAUAAAGCAUACACAGUUAGGUAAUAAUAUGAAAGAAAAAGAAGGUGAAAUGUUUAGCAAUGUUAAGCAAAAUUCUUAUCAAACUAAUGAUAAAAAAUAUUCUAAUUAUAUUAUUCGUGACAAAGUAUUUAGUAAUGAUAAUAAUAGCAGUAGUAACUACUAUAACUGUAAUAACACAACAAACAAACAUAUAAAUGUAUAUGAUGUUACCAAUAUGAACACAAUUGUUUUUGACAUAUUGGUAGAUCAAGGAUGUUAUAACAAUGAUAGCAGUGAUGGAAAUAUGGCUGAAAAUGAUCAUACAGAUAUAGUCAUUUAUUCUAAUGGAAAAUAUCUAUUAUCAACUUGUGUAAAAAAGGGUUCUGUUUGUCUUGGAGGCAAUAGCAGUGUUGACAAAGGAAACAAAAGCGACAAAAGCGACAAAAGCGAUAAAAGCGGCAAAAGCGAUAAUGACAAACUCGUGCUAAAUAAUAGUAUAAGGUUAAAGGUAUUUACAUCCCGAACAUGUGUUGCUGAAUUUCCAAAAGAGUUUAAUUGCUCUUCCACAUUUGUAAACGAAUUAAUUAAUAGAAAAUUGAUAUUAGAUAAUAAUAAAAACUUUUUAUUAAAAAAUCAUAUAAACAUUAUUGAAUUUUAUAAUAAAGUUUCCACUGCAUUAAAUCGAUACAUAUAUCGUUUUUACGAUUGGAAUCAUAGUGAUCAUAAAAAUAAAAUUAAAAAGGAGUAUGUUUGUUUAUCAUAUAAUAAUGUGGACAUUUACACAUUUGAAGUAUUAAUUAAAUUUAUAGAAAACAAUAAUAAAAUUCUUAGAAGGUUGAGCAAAUUGGCAAGGAGUUGUUUAGAAGUGGAAUAUAUAGGAACGGGUGUCAGGGAGGAAUGUGUAGGAGCGAGUGUCGUGGAGGAAUAUAUAGGCGCGAGUGUAGGGGGCGAAUGCGUAAGAUCGGCCGCCAUAACAGAAUGUCCAAACGGGUUGGUUGCUACUAAUAAUGAGCAUAGUAACAGUUACAACAAUGGCAAGAGCUACAGUAAUGUCUCUUUCGCUAAAUAUCGACAAUACCUAUACGAAUGGAAUAAAAUGUCCGAUGCACAUAAUUACGCAUUAAGCAUUUUAAAGUUAUAUUUAAAAAGUGAUAUAAACACAACAAAUAAUGACAUAAUAGAAAAUAAUGAUAAUUUUUACUCAUUAGCAGAAAGAUUAAUGGUAUGUUUUUUAAAAAUUAUUAAAUUAAAAACACCGUUCAUAAAUAAAAAAGAUUUUUAUACAGAUUCUAAUUAUGAAAUAGAAGAGUUAGAUACUAAUGGUACUUUAUGGUUAUUAAGAAGAAAUGUAUACCAAAUUCUUUUAGAGGGAGAUAAAAUAAUAAUAAGUAAUAUAUUUUUGAGAAUAAGUAUAAAAAUUAUUUUAAAAUUACUUAAGUUUUUUUU
This 2292-nucleotide long non-coding RNA is filed under the name Piliocolobus tephrosceles (Ugandan red Colobus). Its description in RNAcentral is "lncRNA (ENSPTEG00000001929.1)". Lineage: Eukaryota; Metazoa; Chordata; Mammalia; Primates; Cercopithecidae. The record is from RNAcentral.